Non-coding RNA from Diatrype stigma, 107 nucleotides. The record is from the annotation of a GenBank genome assembly. Lineage: Eukaryota; Fungi; Ascomycota; Sordariomycetes; Xylariales; Diatrypaceae.
GGCUUCGUGGUCUAGUCGUAUGAUUGUCGCUUCGGGAGUUCCCCACGGUAAACCAUUAUCGUGAUCCAAAAUGUGACAGGUCCCGGGUUCAAAUCCCGGCGAAGCCC